CAGAACUCCAAUUAAUGGAGCGCUGUCUGCUCCCUGGGGGUGUUGGCUGGGCGCUCUGCUGGUGUUUUGCUCAUCGGUUUUGACCCAUGGGCAGAAAGUUUAAGGUUUUUCAAC
Molecule: long non-coding RNA, 114 nt
Organism: Alosa sapidissima (American shad)
Lineage: Eukaryota; Metazoa; Chordata; Actinopteri; Clupeiformes; Clupeidae
Exons: 3
Source: RefSeq, a predicted model, not a curated record